GGGCGAUUAACUCAGCGGGAGAGUGCUUCCUUUACACGGAAGAAGUCGGGGGUUCGAAUCCCUCAUCGCCCACCA
This 75-nucleotide transfer RNA is filed under the name Coriobacteriia bacterium. RNAcentral's name for it is "tRNA-Val". It matches the Rfam family "tRNA". From Rfam's summary of the family: Transfer RNA (tRNA) molecules are approximately 80 nucleotides in length. The record is from RNAcentral. Lineage: Bacteria; Bacillati; Actinomycetota; Coriobacteriia.